UCAGGGAGUUUGAGGAUAGACACAGGGUCAGUGUUCAGUACCAAAUUUACCAUUUGCAUGGAUACUGGAGUAUUUUAGGUAGAUGUGACCAUGUAGGCAGGGAUACUGGAGUAUUUUAGGUAGAUGUGAUCAUGGAGGCAGGGAUACUGGAGUAUUUUAGGUAGAUGUGACCAUGUAGGCAGGGAUACUGGAGUAUUUUAGGUAGAUGUGACCAUGGAGGCAGGGAUACUAGAGUAUUUUAGGUAGAGAUGUGACCAUGCAGGCAGGGAUACUGGAGUAUUUUAGGUAGAGAUGUGUACAUGCAGGCAGGGAUACUGGAGUAUUUUAGGUAGAGAUGUGUACAUGCAGGCAGGGAUACUGGAGUAUUUUAGGUAGAGAUGUGACCAUGCAGGCAGGGAUACUGGAGUAUUUUAGGUAGAGAUGUGUACAUGCAGGCAGGGAUACUAGAGUAUUUUAGGUAGAGAUGUGUACAUGCAGGCAGGUAUUAGGAGAAAGCGAUGCGUAACAGGACAAAUAUUAAUAAUACGUGUGGGAACUUUGAAGAAUCUUUAAUAUUAAAUUAAAUAUAAAACACUUUGUUGGUUAUUACCUGAUUCAAUAUCUGUUAUUUCAUAGUUUUACUAAUAUAUAAUAUACUAAUAUUUACUAAUGUCAAUAGGAUUAAUGGUGA
This is a long non-coding RNA of Oncorhynchus tshawytscha (Chinook salmon), 670 nucleotides long. Lineage: Eukaryota; Metazoa; Chordata; Actinopteri; Salmoniformes; Salmonidae. The record is from Ensembl.